UAAGUGGACUUUGAUGCUUUUGUAACUGU
This 29-nucleotide non-coding RNA is filed under the name Mus musculus (house mouse). Lineage: Eukaryota; Metazoa; Chordata; Mammalia; Rodentia; Muridae. The record is from RNAcentral.